GUAGCAGAACUCCAUGUUCUAAUAGCCCCGGCAAAGUUGUUUUUAAUACUUUUUCUCUACGAAUUUUCAUUAAAAUUUAAUUCCAUUUUAACUUUGUCAAUUUUCCCCAAAGAUAAAUUAAGACACACAGAGAGAUUGUCAUUUCCUGUUUGAAGUCUCAUUCCUGUGUACAAUGUCAGUCUUUUUUAUUUAGGCCUAUGCCAUUCCAUCAGGGUAAAUAACUUUCUAACUAGUCAUUUAAGAGCAACUCCCGGGAAACUGUGAUGCAAUCCCACAUAUCAGCCAGACUUCAAAAGCUGCCAGAUUAUUGUGAAAGGAGAAACACUGUUUUCGAAGGCUGCUGAUAAUGCCUAUUAGCCAGAAGAAAGAGCCUGAAUCAUUCAAAGGUUUUCCAUCUAGUAAAGAAGUGUGGUAAAAAUCUUGCCCAGAUCUGCAUGUGCUAAGCAUCUACGUAAGUUGGAGCAUCAUAUUAAUGACACCCAGUGAAGAAACGAAAGAAUGAAGUGUAAUUACUAUAUCAAAAAUCCACAGAAUGUGAAAGUAUAAAGGAAAACUCUCAGGUGAGACUCGAUUAUUUUUAUUUCAAAGAUCUAGGUAAAAAUGUGAACAGAUUGGGAGGCUGAGGCAGGAGAAUCACUUGAACCCAGGAGGCAGAAGUUGCAGUGAGCCAAGAUUGCACCAUUGGACUCCAGCCUGGGCAACAGACAAGACUCUAUCUCAAAAAAAAAAUGUGAACAGAUAUAUUGACAUAAAAUUCAUAAAACAUAUGGAUAUACUAAAAACUAGGAAGUCUGGUUGCUUCUGAGGAUAAGAGUUGAGGACCUGUUUCAAGAAUACUUUGCACAGCUUGUACUAUUGCAGUAUUUGAAUUUUUUCUUGUACAUGUAUAACUUUUUUAAAAAGAAUGAGAAAUGCUGUACAAGUGCAACUAUUUUUACUGUAAGUUUUUAUUUCCAUAAAACUAUAAUUAAGUGUGUGGUCAAUAGAUCCUGUUAUAUAGCUAUGAUAUCCCUUGAAUUUGUUUACCUGGUAACACUAGCUCACGUUUGUAAAUCCUUUGGAACUCCCAAAGCGAUUUUACAUACAUUACCUAAUUUGUAAGAUUACAAAACUAUUACAUUAGCUUUUCUGGUUUUCUUGUCUUAAUACGUGAUUAUCAUAUUAAACUGCAGUGUUUUUUUUUUUCCAUCAAGUCACACACACAAAACAGGAAACCAGCAGUUGUAAUUUCUUCAGCAAUUCUUAAUGUAAGUUUUUAAUAGUUUAGUACUUUUCUUUCAUAAGUAUUGGACCAAGCUGUAAUGGAAUUAUACGACUCAUGCUUUCAGAACAGAGCCUUCUGUUACUCGUGUUUUUAUCCUGAUGGCCAUAUGACCAUGUGAAGUUCCAUCAUGAUUCUGUUGGAUGUUACCUUUGUCUUAUCCACUGAACUCAAGCCAGGGUGUUGGAGAAUUCAAUAGCUGAGUCUGAGGGUAAAUUAAAAUACCAGUCAAAAUUAAAUGGACUGUGUGAAACAGGAGUGAGCUUACAGGUUAUUAUGAGAUUUGUCCUGCCCAGUUUAAUACAACCCCUUCUCUGCUGAAGGGUAAGUAGGAAGGCUUUUCAUACAAAUAGAAGACCAGGUCAAAAAAAAAUCCACUCCUUUUCCUUCUGCUUGGCUUACUGGACUUGUAGGCAGACCUAGUUUUCCUACUGUAUUAAUGGCUAUGGAGCUGAAUUUCUUUGCAAUAGAAGUUGUUAUUUGAGUUUAGCAACAUUGAUAAAAUUGGCUCAUCAAACCGUUUUAUAUUGAAAAGGGCUUCAUGGACAGUGACCUGCUGUGAGUUGGCUGACAGCUGAAAUGAUGAACAAUACUGUUUAGUUCUGCCCAUCGUGCCUGCCAGAGACUAAGAAUAACUUGACCACUGCUCAGCUAAAAACUUUGGAGUUAGACAUAUGGACAGCCCACCCCAAGGGAAGAAUCAGAGGAGAAGGGACACAAGACCCCAGAAACACACAAAGCACCUUAAUAUGCAUGCUGCAUCUCUCUAAAAUUGUGGAACCUGUUUACCUGCUCUGGAGAAUGGCUGCCUGUGGCAGACAUAGGAGUUGUCCUCAUGCUGUGCUUCCUAUCUUCCACAGUAAUUGACUUGUAGCUGCAAUACAGUUACCAACCAGGAAUACAAUUUCUCAGCCCCAUGUCUUGCACCUACAGCUAAGUGUGGCCAUGUGACCAGUUUUCACCAAUUAAGUGUGAAUAGCAACAAAGUGCACCACCUUCAAUUGGAGGCUUUGAAGAAGCAGGGCAGCCUUCCCUUGCUCUCUUUCCCCUUGUUCUGGUGGGAUACAGAUGACAAUAAGGCCCUGGGUUUUGAGGUAGCCACAAGAUGCAAAAUACCUCAGACCUGAGUCACCACAAGGAAGAGAGAAGCCCACUGACAUGGAAUACCCAGCCUAGUCUACAGAUGAAUAAGAAAUAAACUUCUAUUAUGUUCGAACAUUACAGAUUUUGUUCUGUUAUAGCAGUUUAUCUCACCCUGACUAAACUGUUGCCUAUCUUCCAAGAUAGGCCCUCCUUCCCUGAAAGUGACUUUUUCAUACAUGUAAUCUGUAUUUUAAUUCAUAUUCUCCAAAGCAUAUCCACAUCUAUUCAACUAUUUUCAUGUCUUCCAUCAAUAAAAACCUCAUAUAAAUAUAUACGAGGUUUUUUUUUUUUUUUUUAAGACACUUUGGAGUUAUCCUUGACCCUGUCCUCUUUUCUCAUACCCAUAUACGAACCAUUAAGAAAUCUUGUUGCCUCAACCUUCAAAAUCUAUCCAGGAUUUAACCACUAAUCAACCCCUUCUCCUCUGUCAGUCUGUCCUCCUAGAUUUCAUCUUGACCAUCCUUAGAAACUCCUAACCAGUCUUAUUGCUUUCGCCAUUGUACAUCCAGACUAUUCUCAAAUGGCAACCAAUGAGAUCGUGCUGCACUUCUGCUCAAAACCUGCAAAUGGCUUCCUACCUCACUUAGGGUAAAACCAAAUGGGGCCUGCACAAUCUGGCUUCACCUCCUAGUGCUUUCCUCCUUGCUCAUUCAGCCCAGCCACACUGCUCUUCUUGCUUUUCCAUGAACAUGCUAGACACACUCUCACGUUUGGGCUUUUGCACUUGUUUCCCUUCCCAGAAUGCUCUCCUCGUGGAUACGCACAUAUCCAGCCCCUUAUCUCCUUCAAAUUUUAGUUCAAAUGCCACUUUCUCAAUGAGGGUUUUCUAACCAGCCUAUUUAAACUUACAGUCUCCCAUUGUCUAAAGCCUUGUCUCCCUUCCUGCUUUACUUUUCUUCAUAGUAAUUACCACCAUCUGACUUAUAUUUGCUUGCCUUUCUUGUUGAUUUUCUGUUUUACCCACUCAAAUGUAGUCCAUAAGGGAAGGGAUUGUUGUUUCAUUUGUUCACUUCUCUAUCCCCUGGGCCUGAGCCUGGCUUUGGGUAGGCACUCAGUUAAUGUUUGUGUAAAUUAAUAAAUGAAUGAAUGACAUUUACUACCUUAUAUGGUACUAUAAUAUAAAAGCAUAUGAUGCAGAGAAUUAGGAAUCUAGAAACUAGUUUUGACUCAGCAUCCUAUGUACAAGGUUAUGUAGACAAGUCAUUUCACCUCUCUGAGCCUCAUUUUUCUAAUAUUUAAAAUCUACCCUCCAGAGCUGUAAAGUGUUCAAAUAUAGAUUAUCUUAUGGAGUGCAGUCUCAUGCUUGCACAAUGAAAGAAGUUAAUUUCUACAUACCUUCCAUGUACCCACAAUCAAUGGUUUAUGUAAACCUCACCUCAGGAAAAUUAAGUUCUGUAUGAGCAGAUUUUUUUUUAAAUUGCCACUGAAAUAAAUACCAAAUUAAGCCAAAUAAAUACCAAAACAGACUUUGCAUUUUUCAUCUUUAGCCAAGCUCCUCUGGUUUGCAUACUCAUAAUAUAAUUCAAAUGACCAUUUUUGGAGUUUUGAUUUUUAGUGCUCUUUUUCUCUGCUAGGAGAAAUGAAUAUCUGAUGCUUUGUUUUUCCAAAUUGUUGUAUGAAAACUGAGUAAUGCUAUAAAGCUUUUUAAAUAUUUUAGAGGUAUAGCAAGUGAACUAUUUUAUAAGUUUCUGGGAUUUUUGAAAAUAUUUUUUAUUUUUAAUUUUUACUGAGACAGGGUCUUGCUCUGUUGCCCAGGCUGGAGUGCAGUGGUGUGAUCUCAGCUCACUGCAGCCUCUGCUGCCCAGGUUCAAGCGAUUCUCAUGCCUCAGCCUCCCAAGUAGCUGGGACUACAGUCCUGUGCCACCAUGCCUGACUAAUUUUUUUUGUAUUUUUAGUAGAGAUACGGUUUCGCCAUGUUGGCCAGUCUGGUCUCGAACUCCUGACCUCAAGUGACCUGCCCACCUCAGCCUCCCAAAGGGCUGGGAUUACAGGCAUGAGCCACUGCACCCAGCCUGAACAUAUUUUUUAUGUUCAAUAUAAUGUUGACUACCUAGUAAAGUCAUAUUUGUUCAAAUUCCCCUGAUUUAUUUUCUAAUGAAUACCUCGAUAUUUCUCUUAUAUGCUGGUCACUUAUCAAAUGAUUCCCAGUGAACACUUUUGAUUGAUUAAUGUAUAACUUGAUCAGGUACUGAAUUUGCAUUUGCUUAGUAAGGCCCACCUUGAAAAAUAGUGCAAAUAAUUUAUUCAGGUCAGAUAGGGAGAAAGAAAUCAUAAAAAUACUAAACCAAACAAACUUUAGAAGUGGCUGUUAAUAGAUAAGAUUUUCAAGGCCCAUGAUAAAGGGAUUCUAGUUCUAGAUCUGCUUUCCAUAUUCUUCAAUUCCAAGGGACAUCUUCAGCGUAGCUCCUGACUGGCCUGGCUAACGCUUCGUGCAUCCUUUCUUGAGCUUUGAAGUUUGUCCUGUUUGCCCCUCAAUCCUCAUAAGGUCUCCUUGUGCAUGUGCCCCUCCCUGAGUUUGUGUGUGAGUUGCUGUCUCAUUCCUGGUCUAUGUUCCCUAUGUUUUUAUUUCCUAUCUUUUAGUAUGUAAGUAGGUAGAUAGACAGAUUGACUGAUGAUUGAUUGAUAGAAAUAGAUAUAUAAUUUAUUUUCCCAUGGGUAGAUCUUUAAGGUUUUCAGGCAUGGGAGUAAGAUAACCACCCUAUCCCUCUGUGUGGUGGAAUAGGGUAGAGUAUGGCUGUGGCCAGAGAGACAACAGAACAGUGUAAGAAAGUGUAAAAGUCUUGAACUAUAGCAUAGAUACGCAAGAAAUAAAUGAAAAUGCUGCUGUUUAAUGUGCUGUUUGCAAUUUUUAAAAGUCUAUCAGUGGGAGAAUUGAAUAGGUAAAUAAAGUUUUCAUUGUUAACUUUGUAACAAUAAGUUUCUGAUAAUCUGUAACACAACAAUAAAGUAAGAAAGCUCAAAAGUAUUCUCAAAUUUCCCCAUCAGGGAAUAAUUUCUUCCUGAAUAUCACUCACAGCUCCCUGGAAUAAUAAUACAGUAUAACCUUUUUAUUCAAUUGACACCUAUGAGCCAAUUUCUAUUGUUUCUCAACCAACCCUCCUACUCUUCACCAGUCUGUGUUGGGGCCAUAUCUAUGUAUUCACAUACAUAGUAUUCUUUUCUUACAUCUAUCCUAGAAUAUGUAUGUAUAACACCAUAAUACAAGUCAACUGUCUCUUAUCUGCAACCACAAAUCCAUAAAGCUCUGAAAACCAGAAGUUUGUUUUAUGAUUGGUACCAAAAUUUAUUUUGUGCAAAACCUGGCUUGAACAGACAUGAGGCUUGCUAGCUGAUAUGCCCCACUAGAUGGUGAGCUUUAUGGAGGCAGUCUUGAUUCCUCCUGUCUGCCUGGUAUCUAGUGAAUCUCAACAAAUAUCAAAUAUUUGGAAUAAGCAAAUGAAUAUUUUCUAUCAAUUUAAUAUAUUUGAAUUUAUUAGUCUUCCUCUGUUGUUCUUAUUUGUUUUUUGAGACGGAAUCUCACUCUGUCACCCAGGCUGAAGUGCAAUGGCAUGACCACAGCUCACCGCAGCCUCAAACUCCCAGGCUCCAACAAUCCUCCUGCCUCAGCCUCUUGAGUAGCUGAGACUACAGGCACACACCACUGCACUCAGCUAAUUUUUGUGUUUUUUUGUAGAGAUGGGGUUUCGCCAUGUUGGCCAGGCUGGUCUUGAACUUGGCUCAAGGGAACCACCCACCUCAGCCUCCCUAAGUGUUGGGAUUACAGACAUGAGCCACUGCGCCUGGCCUCUGUUCUUAUUUUUUAAAUGUUAAAACUUUGAGAAAACAAGAGUUAGGGCUAAUAAGUGCUUUUCAAAAAUUUAUUUUUAAACUGAAAAUAUAAACAUUUGGUCAGAUUGAAAAAUCAAUGAUGGAACCAAGAAUAAUAUAGUGUUUCCUGAGUUUUAGAUUAGUAUUUUCUUACCUAGAUAAGACUAGUAUUAUGAAUGCCAGAUAAUUCCAAGGCCAAGAAAAACAACUUUCUUUAAAAUCUAUUAAAAUGUUAUGAGUGAAAAUGAUGAAAAUAACGUUAUUUUACUCCUGUGCCUGAAAACACUUAAGGGGUCCCCACUGGGGAAAAAUAUGAAUCAAUAUCUACAUAUGUAUAUAUUUACUUAUACAUAUAUUAUACCACUAAAAAAUCAGAAAUAAGAAGGUAGGGCAGAUAGAUCAAGAAUGACAUAGCAACUUACAUACGAACUUAGGUAGGAGAACUUGUAAAUGUAUUUUGAAUAUUUGAUGCUUCUCCAGAUUCUUUCACCUUUUCUUUAUACAUGCUUUUAUGUGGGUUCACAUAUAUAAAAAUUAUGUAUAUUGUAUACAAGUUUGUAUUUUUUUCUACAUUUUGAGGAAAUUUUGAGGAAGCAAACUUCUGCUUUAUGAAACAUCCACUCAUGACAUCAAUAAUUGCCAAGUAGAAUCUUUUUCAUAAAACACUCAUGACCUAAAUUGAAAAACAUAAAAGUUUUAUUGAAGUUACAAAUGUCAGGACACAAGUACUGUUAUCAAAUAUUAGAAUUAUGAUAUACCAUAACAUCUAUUAUUCUGCCUUGCAUUAUCAUUCUAAAUUUUGUAAAUAUUUGUUGGGUCAUAAAGAAAUAAAUUUCUCUUUGAGCCAUCUAACUUACUUCCUUCUAAUAUCCAAUUUAUUGAAUAGGAUGCCAUUCUAUUUCCUCCGAUGAAUUUUCAUCUGAUGUCCAUUUGCAGUUCACCCUUAAACAACAUGGAUUUGAACCGCAUGGGUCUAUUUAUACGUGAAUUUUUUUUAGUAAAUAUAUUGAAAAAUUUUUUGGAGAUUUGCAACAACUUGAAAAAACUUGCAGACAAACUGCAUAGCAUAGAAAUACUUUCGAAAAUUUUUUUUUGGCCGAGCGCGGUGGCUCAGGCCUGUAAUCCCAGCACUUUGGGAGGUCGAGGCGGGCAGAUCACCUGAGCUCGGGAGUUUGAGACAAGCCUGGCCAACAUGGUGAAACCCCGUCUCUACUAAAAAUACAAAAAUUUACCGGGCAUGGUGGUGGGCGCCUGUAGUUCCACCUACUCGGGAGGCUGAGGCACGAGAAUCACUUGAACCCGGGAGGCGGAGGUUGCAGUGAGCCGAAAUAGCACCACUGCACUCCAGCCUGGGUGACACAGCCAGAUUCCGUCUCAAUAAAUAAAUAAAUAAAUAAAUAAAUAAAUAAAUAAAUAAAUUUUAAAGUUAGGGCCAGGCACGGUGCUUCACACUUACAAUCCCAGCACUUUGGGAGGCUGAAGCGGAAGGAUCAUUUGAGCCCAGGAGUUUGAGACCAGGAGUUUGAGACCAGGAGUUUGAGACCAACCUGAGCAACAUAGUGGUACCCCAUUGCUACAAAAAAAUAAAAAGUAAAAAGUUAGCAAGCUGUGGUGGCACUCCUGAAGUCCCAGCUCCUCAGGAGUGGGAGGAUCACUUGAGCCUGGAAGGUUGAGGCUGCAGUGAUCCUUGAUCGCAAACACUGUGCUCUAGCCUGGGUGACAGAAUGAGACCCUGUCUCAAAAAAAAAAAAAAAAGAAAAAAGAAAAAAAGAAAAGAAAAGAAAAAAAUAGGAAUAGAAAAAGUUGGGUAUGUCAUGAGUGCAUAAAUACAUAAAUAUGUGUAGCCACUAAUCUAUUUUAUCAUUUACUGCCAUGAAAUACUUGAGUCGGCCAAACCAACCCCUUCUCUUCCUCUUCCUCUUCAGCCUACUCAACAUGAAGACAAUGAGAAUUAAGACUUUAUUAUUAUCCACUUCCACUUAAUGAAUAGUAAAUAUAUUUUUUCUUAUGAUUUUCAUAAUAUUUUACUUUCUCUAGCUUACUUUAUUGUAAGAAUACAGUAUAUAAUACAUGCAAUAUACAAAAUAUGUGUUAAUUAACUGUUUAUGUCAUUGGUAAGGCUUCUGGUCAACAGUAGCCUACUAGUAGUUAAUUUUGGGCGGAUCUAAAAGUUAUACAUGGGUAAUUGACCAUGUAGAAGUCGGCACACCUAACACCCAUGUUAUUCAAAGGAUUCAUGGGUCAACUGUAUUUCACUAUUUUUAUCUAUUUGUAAAUUAUUAAUAAUUGCUUUAUGUAUAAAAACAACAGCUGUCUCAUCAUCAUUAUAAUGUCAAUUGUUCCAUCCUUAUACUAUUAAUAUGAUAAAUAUACAUUUAUACUUCAAAUGACAGAAAAGUAGGCAUUAAUCAGCAAAGCAGUUCAGGAAAAUUAAUCUGGCAGGACUGAAUAAAAUGGGCUUGAAGAAAGUAGGCUUAAAGCAGAAAUAUAUUGGCUAGGACUCCAUUGCCAUUAUCUAAACAAGAAUUAAUGAGUUUCCUAACUGGGAAUGAAAUAGAAGAAAUGGAAAGAAGGGACAGUUUUAAAAUGUAAUGAAGGGAAAAUUGAUGCAAUUGGAUAACUGGUUGAAUAUAAGAAGCAAGACAGACUAUCAUAAUUGUUAGAUAUUUCAGAUAAUGUGGGCAUGAAAGAAAGAGAUGCCAAGAUGGUAGUAGGUAGUAGAGAGAAGGCCAAGGAAAUACUUGUAUUUCCUGAAGUUGGGAAAUACUUAUACUUGAAGAGUGUAGAAAGGAAGGAAUCAGCAGAGAGAGCUAAGGAGAAGCAAAAGAACAAUUUCACAAAAACAUGGAUUUAAAGAAGUAGUGGGCAGCAAUAUUCAGUGCCGCAGAAAAGGCUCUAGAUUUUAUGAGUAGGAAGUCUCGUGACCUUUAAGAGCACAGGGUUCCAUAGAAGGGUGAGGACAGAAACGAAAUUUGAAAGGAUUAAGGAAUGAGUGAAGUAUAAGAAAAUGUGACAGUAUUUUUUCAAAAUGAAUAAUCAAGCAAUGAAACAUGGAGGAACCUCAAAUGCAUGCCACUAAGUAAAAGAAGCCAGUGUGAAAAGGCUGCAUGACUGUAUGAUUCGAGCUACAUGGCAUUCUGGAAAGGGCAAGCCAUGGAGACAAUGAAAAGAUCAACGGCUGCCAGGGAUUGCAGGGAGGAAAGGAUAAACAGGCAGAGCACAUCAAAUUUUUAGGGCAGGGAAACUAGUCUGUAUUAUACUAUAAUGGUGGGUACAUGUCAUUAUGCAUUUGUCAAAACCUGUAAAAUGUACACCAAAAGUCAACUCUAAUGUACAUUAUGGACUGAGUGAUUAUGAUGUGUCAGUGUAGUUCAUUGGUUGGAACAAAUGUACUCUGGUGGGAGACGUUAAUAGUAGAUGUUGGCCGGGCAUGGUGGCUCACGCCUGUAAUCCCAGAAUUUUGGGAGGCCGAGGAGGGUGGAUCACGAGGUCAGGAGUUCAAGAGCAGCCUGGCCAAGAUGGUGAAACCCUGUCUCUACUAAAAAUACAAAAAUUAGCCCAGCAUGGUAGCAGGCGCCUGUAAUCCCAGCUACUUGGGAGGCUGAGGCAGAGAAUCACUUGAACCCGGGAGGCAGAGGUUGAGUGAGCCGAGAUCACGCCAUUGCACUCCAGCCUGGCAAUAGAGUGAGACUCCAUCUCUAAAUAAAUAAAUAAAUAAAUAAAUAAAUAAAUAAAUAAAUAAAUAAAAUGAAGUCAAUUUUAAAAGAAUGUAUAACCAUUUUUAUUAAUAUAAACUUCUGUGUUACAUACAUGUAUUACUUUUAUUGUAUCAUUUUAUAGCCCUUAAAAAUUUCAACAAAAUGUAAAAAUGUAUUUUUGUGACCAAUGAAAUAAGUGGAGUAAAGUGAUAUUGUUCAGCUAAAUAUAUGAUAGAUAUAAGAAUUUAGUUACAUUUCUGGAAUGACAGAGUGGUGAUGAAUUUUAUAGCAUUAUGACGUAAGUAAGAAAUGUUAGGUCUGUCUUCGGAUGUCUAUUGUAUGUUCCAGUUAUUUAUUGCUGUGUGUAACACACCACACCAAAACUUAGUAGCUUAAAACAGUCAUUUAUUGUUAUGUUCCAUUUUUCUGGGGGUUGACGAAGCUGAGCGUUACUCACUUUUGUGUCCUUCAAAUGGUUGCAGAAAUAUGACAGAUGAGGCUGGAAUUCUGAAAGCUUCUUUACUCACAUGCCUGGCUCCUAGACUAGAAUAGCUAGAAUACCUGUGGGCUGGUCAGGAUUUCUCCCUCUUUUGUCUCUCCACAUAGCCAUAGUGUGGCUUGGGUUUCAAACAGCGUGGCAUUUCAAGACCAGGAAUUCCAGGAGACCCAGGUAGAAGCUUCAAAGUGUGGGAAGUGUUGGAAGUCAUACAGCGUCACUUCCACUAUAUUCUAUUUGGCAAAUCUGUCACAAAUGAGCCCAGAUUCAAGGGAGUAGAGCAAUAGAUAGAUACAGGGAGGAGAGAAAUUGAUGGUAGCCAACUGAAAACAAGAAACAAGCUACCACAAUCUAUUUAGGGGAUAUUUAUAAAAACAUAGAGACACACAUGCACAAACAACACACACGUACACACAUACAUGCAGAUAAAUACAUUUUUAUGAAAAAAUUAAGAAUUAUUAUGAAUGUUCAAGUAUACAAUAAUAUGCAAAGGGAAAACCUUAAUAAUUAAAGUAGGAAAUGAGACUAACUCUGAGAAGAGUAAUCAAAGACAUUGUAUUUUUUUUUCAG
This 10975-nucleotide long non-coding RNA is filed under the name Homo sapiens (human). RNAcentral describes it as "non-protein coding lnc-S1PR1-2:7". The record is from RNAcentral. Lineage: Eukaryota; Metazoa; Chordata; Mammalia; Primates; Hominidae.